AUACGAAGGGUGCAAGCGUUGUUCGGAUUUACUGGGCGUAAAGCGCGCGCAGGCGGAUUAAUAAGUCAGAUGUGAAAUCUCGGGGCUCAACCCCGAAACUGCGUCUGAAACUGUUGAUCUAGAGUUAUGGAGGGGAGAAGGGAAUUUCGCAUGUAGGGGUAAAAUCCGUAGAGAUGCGAAGGAACACCAGAGCCGAAGGGGCUUCUCUGGCCAUACACUGACGCUGAGGCGCGAAAGCGUGUGUAGCAAACAGGAUUAGAUACCCUGGUAGUCCACGCCGUAAACGAUGUGUACUAGAUAUUGGAGAUAUUGACUCUUCAGUGUCGUAGCUAACGCAAUAAGUACACCGCCUGGGAAGUACGGUCGCAAGACUAAAACUCAAAGGAAUUGACGGGGGCCCGCACAAGCGGUGGAUUAUGUGGUUUAAUUCGAAGCAACGCGCAGAACCUUACCUAGGCUUGAAAUCCCGAGAAGAUCGACCAAAAUUGAUUGUGCUCUUCGGAGAACUC
RNAcentral lists this ribosomal RNA (509 nucleotides) under uncultured Bacteriovorax sp. RNAcentral's name for it is "bacterial SSU rRNA". It matches the Rfam family "Bacterial small subunit ribosomal RNA", at positions 523 to 1029 of the family's 1533-position model. Lineage: Bacteria; Pseudomonadati; Bdellovibrionota; Bacteriovoracia; Bacteriovoracales; Bacteriovoracaceae. The record is from RNAcentral.